Molecule: ribosomal RNA, 436 nt
Filed under: uncultured marine group I thaumarchaeote
Lineage: Archaea; Thermoproteati; Nitrososphaerota
Description: bacterial SSU rRNA
Rfam family: Archaeal small subunit ribosomal RNA
Source: RNAcentral
AGUUCUGGUGUCAGCCGCCGCGGUAAAACCAGCACCUCAAGUGGUCAGGAGGAUUAUUGGGCCUAAAGCAUCCGUAGCCGGCUCUGUAAGUUUUCGGUUAAAUCCAUGUGCUCGGCGCAUGGGCUGUCGAAAAUACUGCAUAGCUAGGGAGUGGGAGAGGUAGACGGUACUCGGUAGGAAGGGGUAAAAUCCUUUGAUCUAUCGAUGACCACCUGUGGCGAAGGCGGUCUACCAGAACACGUUCGACGGUGAGGGAUGAAAGCUGGGGGAGCAAACCGGAUUAGAUACCCGGGUAGUCCCAGCUGUAAACGAUGCAGACUCGAUGAUGCAUUGGCAUAUAGCCAGUGCAGUGUCGCAGGGAAGCCGUUAAGUCUGCCGCCUGGGAAGUACGUACGCAAGUAUGAAACUUAAAGGAAUUGGCGGGGGAGCACCACAA